AAAAGUUUUGGAGGAGAGAUCUCGAACCGGAACAAAAAGUUUACAUUAGUAUUGAAAUUAGAACUAAUUUGCGGUUCGGUUUACACUGGGCUAAAGAGGAAAAAAAAAAAUUCACGCGAUGGUGAUUUUGAAGACAACUGCGUUGAUAAAAAAAGGCAUGAUUUCAAAAGGUGAACCCCUACAGAAUUGCUCUCACGCUCUCAACGCG
This is a long non-coding RNA of Arabidopsis thaliana (thale cress), 208 nucleotides long. RefSeq annotates it as other RNA. The transcript has a single exon. NCBI's taxonomy places the organism in Eukaryota, Viridiplantae, Streptophyta, Magnoliopsida, Brassicales, Brassicaceae. The record is from RefSeq.